UACGUAGGGUGCGAGCGUUGUCCGGAAUUAUUGGGCGUAAAGAGCUCGUAGGCGGUCUGUCGCGUCGAAUGUGAAAACCCGGGGCUCAACUCCGGGCUUGCAUUCGAUACGGGCAGGCUAGAGUUCGGUAGGGGAGUCUGGAAUUCCUGGUGUAGCGGUGGAAUGCGCAGAUAUCAGGAGGAACACCGGUGGCGAAGGCGGGUCUCUGGGCAGUAACUGACGCUGAGGAGCGAAAGCGUGGGGAGCGAACAGG
RNAcentral lists this ribosomal RNA (253 nucleotides) under uncultured bacterium. RNAcentral's name for it is "partial 16S ribosomal RNA". It matches the Rfam family "Bacterial small subunit ribosomal RNA", at positions 524 to 776 of the family's 1533-position model. The record is from RNAcentral.